Molecule: ribosomal RNA, 481 nt
Filed under: uncultured bacterium
Lineage: Bacteria
Description: partial 16S ribosomal RNA
Rfam family: Bacterial small subunit ribosomal RNA
Source: RNAcentral
GACGAACGCUGGCGGCGUGCCUAACACAUGCAAGUCGAACGGAGAUACGAUUUCGGUUGUAUCUUAGUGGCGAACGGGUGAGUAACGCGUGAGAAACCUGACUCUUAGAGGGGGAUAACACUCGGAAACGGGUGCUAAUACCGCAUAAGACCACGACCCGACAUCGGGAUGAGGUCAAAGGAGCAAUCCGCUGAGAGAGGGGCUCGCGUCCCAUUAGAUAGAUGGCGGGGUAACGGCCCACCAUGUCGACGAUGGGUAGCCGCGCUGAGAGGCUGAUCGGCCACACUGGAACUGAGACACGGUCCAGACUCCUACGGGAGGCAGCAGUGGGGAAUAUUGGGCAAUGGGCGCAAGCCUGACCCAGCAACGCCGCGUGAGGGAAGAAGGCUUUCGGGUUGUAAACCUCUGUCCUUGGUGACGAAGAAAGCGACGGUAGCCAAGGAGGAAGCCCCGGCUAACUACGUGCCAGCCGCCGCAGUAA